UUAUAAGAGACAGCAGCAGCCGCGGGAAUACGUAGGGUGCAAGCGUUAAUCGGAAUUACUGGGCGUAAAGCGUGCGCAGGCGGUUAUAUAAGACAGAUGUGAAAUCCCCGGGCUCAACCUGGGAACUGCAUUUGUGACUGUAUAGCUAGAGUACGGCAGAGGGGGAUGGAAUUCCGCGUGUAGCAGUGAAAUGCGUAGAUAUGCGGAGGAACACCGAUGGCGAAGGCAAUCCCCUGGGCCUGUACUGACGCUCAUGCACGAAAGCGUGGGGAGCAAACAGGAUUAGAUACCCCUGUAGUCCCUGUCUCUUAUAC
Molecule: ribosomal RNA, 314 nt
Filed under: uncultured bacterium
Lineage: Bacteria
Description: partial 16S ribosomal RNA
Rfam family: Bacterial small subunit ribosomal RNA
Source: RNAcentral